CCUACGGGAGGCAGCAGUGGGGAAUAUUGCACAAUGGGGGAAACCCUGAUGCAGCGACGCCGCGUGAGUGAAGAAGUAUUUCGGUAUGUAAAGCUCUAUCAGCAGGGAAGAAAUAAAGUCCUUCGGACUUUGGACGGUACCUGACUAAGAAGCCCCGGCUAACUACGUGCCAGCAGCCGCGGUAAUACGUAGGGGGCAAGCGUUAUUCGGAUUUACUGGGUGUAAAGGGAGCGUAGACGGCAGCGCAAGUCUGGAGUGAAAUCCCAUGGCUUAACCAUGGAACUGCUUUGGAAACUGUGAAGCUGGAGUGCAGGAGAGGUAAGCGGAAUUCGUAGUGGAGCGGUGAAAUGCGUAGAUAUUAGGAGGAACACCAGUGGCGAAGGCGGCUUACUGGACUGUAACUGACGUUGAGGCUCGAAAGCGUGGGGAGCAAACAGGAUUAGAUACCCGGGUAGUC
Molecule: ribosomal RNA, 457 nt
Filed under: uncultured bacterium
Lineage: Bacteria
Description: partial 16S ribosomal RNA
Rfam family: Bacterial small subunit ribosomal RNA
Source: RNAcentral